UUCCGGUUGAUCCUGCCGGAGGACAUUGCUAUUGGGAUUCGAUUUAGCCAUGCUAGUCGAACGAGUUCACACUCGUGGCGCAUAGCUCAGUAACACGUGGCCAAGCUACCCUUCAGUCGGCAAUACCCUCGGGAAACUGAGGCUAAUGGCCGAUAUGGAACAGUCGCUGGAAUGCACUGUUUUCUAAAGACAUCGCUGAAGGAUGCGGCUGCGGCCGAUUAGGUAGACGGUGGGGUAACGGCCCACCGUGCCAGUAAUCGGUACGGGUGAUGAGAGUCAGAGCCCGGAGACGGAAUCUGAGACAAGAUUCCGGGCCCUACGGGGCGCAGCAGGCGCGAAACCUUUGCACUGCACGGAAGUGCGAUAGGGGAGUCCCAAGUGCGAGGGCAUAUUAGCCCUCGCUUUUGUUGACUGUAAGGUGGUCAACGAAUAAGAGCUGGGCAAGACCGGUGCCAGCCGCCGCGGUAAUACCGGCAGCUCAAGUGAUGUCCCAUAUUAUUGGGCCUAAAGCGUCCGUAGCUGGCCAGCCAAGUCCAUCGGGAAAUCCACCCGCCCAACGGGUGGGCGUCCGGUGGAAACUGGCUGGCUUGGAACCGGAAGGCUCAGAGAGUACGUCCGGGGUAGGAGUGAAAUCCCGUAAUCCCGGACGGACUACCGAUGGCGAAAGCACUCUGAGAAGACGGCUUCGACAGUGAGGGACGAAAGCUCGGGUCUCAAACCGGAUUAGAUACCCGGGUAGUC
Molecule: ribosomal RNA, 741 nt
Filed under: uncultured archaeon
Lineage: Archaea
Description: bacterial SSU rRNA
Rfam family: Archaeal small subunit ribosomal RNA
Source: RNAcentral